AUGCACGCUGGCGGCGUGCCUAAUACCUGCAAGUCGAGCGAACGGACGAGAAGCUUGCUUCUCUGAUGUUAGCGGCGGACGGGUGAGUAACACGUGGAUAACCUACCUAUAAGACUGGGAUAACUUCGGGAAACCGGAGCUAAUACCGGAUAAUAUUUUGAACCGCAUGGUUCAAAAGUGAAAGACGGUCUUGCUGUCACUUAUAGAUGGAUCCGCGCUGCAUUAGCUAGUUGGUAAGGUAACGGCUUACCAAGGCAACGAUGCAUAGCCGACCUGAGAGGGUGAACGGCCACACUGGAACUGAGACACGGUCCAGACUCCUACGGGAGGCAGCAGUAGGGAAUCUUCCGCAAUGGGCGAAAGCCUGACGGAGCAACGCCGCGUGAGUGAUGAAGGUCUUCGGAUCGUAAAACUCUGUUAUUAGGGAAGAACAUAUGUGUAAGUAACUGUGCACAUCUUGACGGUACCUAAUCAGAAAGCCACGGCUAACUACGUG
Molecule: ribosomal RNA, 496 nt
Filed under: uncultured bacterium
Lineage: Bacteria
Description: partial 16S ribosomal RNA
Rfam family: Bacterial small subunit ribosomal RNA
Source: RNAcentral